CGUAUAGCUCAGUUGGCUAGAGCAUUCGACUGAUACUCGAAAGGUCCUAGGUUCGAAUCCUAGUACG
Molecule: transfer RNA, 67 nt
Filed under: marine eukaryotic metagenome
Rfam family: tRNA
About the family: Transfer RNA (tRNA) molecules are approximately 80 nucleotides in length. Their secondary structure includes four short double-helical elements and three loops (D, anti-codon, and T loops). Further hydrogen bonds mediate the characteristic L-shaped molecular structure. tRNAs have two regions of fundamental functional importance: the anti-codon, which is responsible for specific mRNA codon recognition, and the 3' end, to which the tRNAs corresponding amino acid is attached (by aminoacyl-tRNA synthetases). tRNAs cope with the degeneracy of the genetic code in two manners: having more than one tRNA (with a specific anti-codon) for a particular amino acid; and 'wobble' base-pairing, i.e. permitting non-standard base-pairing at the 3rd anti-codon position.
Source: RNAcentral